This 561-nucleotide ribosomal RNA is filed under the name uncultured bacterium. Its description in RNAcentral is "bacterial SSU rRNA". It matches the Rfam family "Bacterial small subunit ribosomal RNA", at positions 338 to 916 of the family's 1533-position model. The record is from RNAcentral.
CCUACGGGAGGCAGCAGUGGGGAAUAUUGGACAAUGGGCGAAAGCCUGAUCCAGCAAUGCCGCGUGAGUGAUGAAGGCCUUAGGGUUGUAAAGCUCUUUUACUGGGGAUGAUAAUGACAGUACCCAGAGAAUAAGCCCCGGCUAACUCCGUGCCAGCAGCCGCGGUAAUACGGAGGGGGCUAGCGUUGUUCGGAAAUACUGGGCGUAAAGCGCACGUAGGCGGUAAAGUAAGUCAGAGGUGAAAUCCCAGGGCUCAACCCUGGAACUGCCUUUGAAACUGCUAUACUAGAAUCAUGGAGAGGUCAGUGGAAUUCCGAGUGUAGAGGUGAAAUUCGUAGAUAUUCGGAAGAACACCAGUGGCGAAGGCGACUGACUGGACAUGUAUUGACGCUGAGGUGCGAAAGCGUGGGGAGCAAACAGGAUUAGGAUACCCUGGUAGUCCACGCCGUAAACGAUGAUAACUAGUUGUUGGGGUUCACAGAACUUCAGUGACGCAGCUAACGCAUUAAGUUAUCCGCCUGGGGAGUACGGUCGCAAGAUUAAACUCAAGGAAUUAGACGG